AACGCACGAGACCUGCGGACCUGCGGAGGGAUCAUUACAGAGUUCUUUGCAACUCCCAACCCUGUGAACCAUACCAAUUUUUGUUGUUGCUUCUGGCAGGCGGGCCCCCCGGGCCCUCUGCCAGCGGUAACCUGCUCCAACCUUCUUUUUUUCUUUCUUGUUGUCUGAGUACUACAAAAAUCAAUCAAAACUUUCAACAAUGGAUCUCU
RNAcentral lists this unclassified non-coding RNA (209 nucleotides) under soil metagenome. Its description in RNAcentral is "partial contains 5.8S ribosomal RNA, internal transcribed spacer 2, and large subunit ribosomal RNA". The record is from RNAcentral.